Myotis daubentonii (Daubenton's bat) is the source of this 1492-nucleotide long non-coding RNA. RefSeq lists it as uncharacterized. The transcript has 3 exons. Lineage: Eukaryota; Metazoa; Chordata; Mammalia; Chiroptera; Vespertilionidae. The record is from RefSeq and is a predicted model, not a curated record.
AGAUGAAAAGAGAGAUGGUCAUAGAGAAAUGAUGGAAAGAUGAGGUUAUGAAGACGUGAGAGGCUGGCAAGAGGAACAUGAAUAACUGCCUGAAACUGACACUGUUCUCCAAAGCCGGCUGUGGCUCCCCUGGAGGUGGAUGAAAUCUUAAAGGAACCCAUCCAUGUGGUCCUGAGUGGCAACCUUCCUUCACUGACAAGAAGAGGUUCUCCGAAGACUGGGCAUUUGACCACACAAAAAACUUGCCUUCAAAACAAACACAUCAAGUCAAGCAUCUUCUCUGAGCACCUUGUGAACCUGAAAUCAAUUGUCUGAAGAUCGCAGAAGCCAGGCCUGGAUGUCCAUGGUUGUCAGAAGAAAGAUUCCAGAGCCGAAGUGGAUGUUUCUGCUAAUCUGUGAGCACACAAUUAAUUCGCAUGCAUGAGGCAGUUUGGUGUCCUUCCCUACCAGCGCUGUGCACACUAAUGAACUAAGUCUGAGAGUAGAGGCAAUGAUUAUGAAGAGGCAGCUGGGUGGCUGGGCCUGAUCUGGGCCUGGGGAGCCCGUGGCUGACCCCCGCAGGCCCGCUGUGCAAAUGAUUUCACACUUAGGCGGCCCAAUCAAUUGGGUGUUUUCUCUGCUUAAAAAAAUCACUGGGAUAAAAUGCUUCCUUCUCUAUAGUCACGGCAUGUUCUAGGGGCCCUUCAGGGGGCCUUUGAAAGGGCUGGUUUUGUAUUUAAGAGUAAAGCGUUGUUAUCAAGAAUUUUUAAUAUAUUCUCCAGCCAUUGAGAGAUGACACUCUUCUCAGAAGCUCCUGAAAGAGAUGCCUCUGAAGGGAUUUAGAGGCGCCCCAGGGAGGAGGGAGCAGGGUUCAGGCUCUUGGCUGAGGAGAGGCAAUUCUGGGACAGGGGAGGGGGGUGAUGUCAGAGGUUGGAGGGAUGCCUGGUUUCAGGGAAGUAGGAGGGGGCAGAGCACAGCGCAAUGGGCUCCCAGGGGAGCCCGGGGGGGUCCCCAAACAGGAAGCCCAGCUGGUGAAGACUGUGUUGUCAACUGGGGAGACAUGUGAUGGGUGCUUCUUCCAUUCUGCUCUAGUACCUCAAUGCCCUCAGGGCUUCCUACCUGCCUUUGCAAAGACUUGUGUAGGUCCUGACUCAAGGGCACCGUGUGGACUCCAAGGCAGGGUGCUACAGAGUAGGACUCAGGUAGGUGACCGUGGUAUUUUGGGGGUGUGGGGGGUGGGCAUUGUUUUUCCCCAGCACAUAUGUGGGAGGUGGGGGAACACAGGCUGGCUUGUCCUCGGGUCUGCAGGGCCACCAAGGCCCAGUUCCUCCCUGAAGCACCUUCUUCAUGGACUCGAAGGAAAGGAGCCAAAGUGACUGGUCCUGCCACAUUGUCGCCCCUCGGCGAGGGCAGUGGUGCGCACAGGGUGGGGAGAUCUGGAGAACCCAGGGCCUUCGUAGGAAAUGUCCUCAUGUUUUCCCCCAGGGCCGUGGUUGGCAAACUGCGGCUCUUG